GACGAACCGUACGAACGUUAUUCGGAAUCACGGGGCUUAAAGCGUGUGUAGGCGGAUCGUUAAGUGCCUUGUGAAAUCCCACGGCUCACCCGUGGAACUGCUGGGCAUACUGGCGGUCUUGAGCCACCUAGGGGCAACCGGAACAAACGGUGGAGCGGUGAAAUGCGUAGAUAUCGUUUGGAACGCCAAUGGUGAAAACAGGUUGCUGGGGGUGUGCUGACGCUGAGACACGAAAGCCAGGGGAGCAAACGGG
RNAcentral lists this ribosomal RNA (253 nucleotides) under uncultured bacterium. Its description in RNAcentral is "partial 16S ribosomal RNA". It matches the Rfam family "Bacterial small subunit ribosomal RNA", at positions 524 to 776 of the family's 1533-position model. The record is from RNAcentral.